Molecule: ribosomal RNA, 200 nt
Filed under: uncultured bacterium
Lineage: Bacteria
Description: partial 16S ribosomal RNA
Rfam family: Bacterial small subunit ribosomal RNA
Source: RNAcentral
AGAGUUUGAUCCUGGCUCAGGACGAACGCUGGCGGCGUGCUUAACACAUGCAAGUCGAACGAGGUGCUUGCACCUAGUGGCGAACGGGUGAGUAACACGUGAGCAACCUGCCCCUGGCUCUGGGAUAGCCUCCGGAAACGGGGAUUAAUACCGGACAUGACCCGCUCUGGCAUCGGAGCGGGUGGAAAGUUUUUCGGCCA